This is a non-coding RNA of Microcebus murinus (gray mouse lemur), 150 nucleotides long. The record is from RefSeq and is a predicted model, not a curated record. NCBI's taxonomy places the organism in Eukaryota, Metazoa, Chordata, Mammalia, Primates, Cheirogaleidae.
AAGUAGUAAGCUCUGUUGGGACAAAGUCCAGAUGAAGACUCACCUGUGGGGAUUUAGAGCAGCAUGAGUGGACAUAAAAGGAAUUUCCUAUGAUACACAGUUCUCGCCCUAUUUUACGGAGCUCAUAGAAGUAAACAUACAGUAUGUCUG